Molecule: transfer RNA, 81 nt
Filed under: Candidatus Pacearchaeota archaeon CG1_02_35_32
Lineage: Archaea; Nanobdellati
Also listed under: 6 other names
Description: tRNA-Ser
Rfam family: tRNA
About the family: Transfer RNA (tRNA) molecules are approximately 80 nucleotides in length. Their secondary structure includes four short double-helical elements and three loops (D, anti-codon, and T loops).
Source: RNAcentral
GCCGUCGUUGGGUAGUGGUAGCCCGCUUGCUUGGAGAGCAAGUUUCCUUUGGAUAUCCAGGUUCGAUUCCUGGCGACGGCG